RNAcentral lists this ribosomal RNA (469 nucleotides) under uncultured beta proteobacterium. RNAcentral describes it as "bacterial SSU rRNA". It matches the Rfam family "Bacterial small subunit ribosomal RNA", at positions 8 to 474 of the family's 1533-position model. Lineage: Bacteria; Pseudomonadati; Pseudomonadota; Betaproteobacteria. The record is from RNAcentral.
AGAGUUUGAUCCUGGCUCAGAUUGAACGCUGGCGGCAUGCUUUACACAUGCAAGUCGAACGGCAGCGCGGGGCAACCUGGCGGCGAGUGGCGAACGGGUGAGUAAUAUAUCGGAACGUACCCAAGAGUGGGGGAUAACGUAGCGAAAGUUACGCUAAUACCGCAUACGAUCUAUGGAUGAAAGUGGGGGACCGCAAGGCCUCACGCUCCUGGAGCGGCCGAUAUCUGAUUAGCUAGUUGGUGAGGUAAAGGCUCACCAAGGCGACGAUCAGUAGCUGGUCUGAGAGGACGACCAGCCACACUGGAACUGAGACACGGUCCAGACUCCUACGGGAGGCAGCAGUGGGGAAUUUUGGACAAUGGGCGCAAGCCUGAUCCAGCAAUGCCGCGUGAGUGAAGAAGGCCUUCGGGUUGUAAAGCUCUUUUGUCAGGGAAGAAACGGCCUAAGCUAAUAUCUUGGGCUAAUGACG